This 1332-nucleotide ribosomal RNA is filed under the name uncultured bacterium. RNAcentral describes it as "bacterial SSU rRNA". It matches the Rfam family "Bacterial small subunit ribosomal RNA", at positions 28 to 1381 of the family's 1533-position model. The record is from RNAcentral.
GACGAACGCUGGCGGCGCGCCUAACACAUGCAAGUCGAACGAGCGAGAGAGAGCUUGCUUUCUCGAGCGAGUGGCGAACGGGUGAGUAACGCGUGAGGAACCUGCCUCAAAGAGGGGGACAACAGUUGGAAACGACUGCUAAUACCGCAUAAGCCCACGGCUCGGCAUCGAGCAGAGGGAAAAGGAGCAAUCCGCUUUGAGAUGGCCUCGCGUCCGAUUAGCUAGUUGGUGAGGUAACGGCCCACCAAGGCAACGAUCGGUAGCCGGACUGAGAGGUUGAACGGCCACAUUGGGACUGAGACACGGCCCAGACUCCUACGGGAGGCAGCAGUGGGGAAUAUUGCACAAUGGGGGAAACCCUGAUGCAGCGACGCCGCGUGGAGGAAGAAGGUCUUCGGAUUGUAAACUCCUGUUGUUGGGGAAGAUAAUGACGGUACCCAACAAGGAAGUGACGGCUAACUACGUGCCAGCAGCCGCGGUAAAACGUAGGUCACAAGCGUUGUCCGGAAUUACUGGGUGUAAAGGGAGCGCAGGCGGGAAGACAAGUUGGAGGUGAAAUCUAUGGGCUCAACCCAUAAACUGCUUUCAAAACUGUUUUUCUUGAGUAGUGCAGAGGUAGGCGGAAUUCCCGGUGUAGCGGUGGAAUGCGUAGAUAUCGGGAGGAACACCAGUGGCGGAGGCGGCCUACUGGGCACCAACUGACGCUGAGGCUCGAAAGUGUGGGUAGCAAACAGGAUUAGAUACCCUGGUAGUCCACACCGUAAACGAUGAUUACUAGGUGUUGGAGGAUUGACCCCUUCAGUGCCGCAGUUAACACAAUAAGUAAUCCACCUGGGGAGUACGACCGCAAGGUUGAAACUCAAAGGAAUUGACGGGGGCCCGCACAAGCAGUGGAGUAUGUGGUUUAAUUCGACGCAACGCGAAGAACCUUACCAAGUCUUGACAUCCCUUGACAGGCAUAGAAAUAUGUUUUCUCUUCGGAGCAAGGAGACAGGUGGUGCAUGGUUGUCGUCAGCUCGUGUCGUGAGAUGUUGGGUUAAGUCCCGCAACGAGCGCAACCCUUAUGGUCAGUUACUACGCAAGAGGACUCUGGCCAGACUGCCGUUGACAAAACGGAGGAAGGUGGGGAUGACGUCAAAUCAUCAUGCCCUUUAUGACUUGGGCUACACACGUACUACAAUGGCGUUAAACAAAGAGAAGCAAGACCGCGAGGUGGAGCAAAACUCAGAAACAACGUCCCAGUUCGGACUGCAGGCUGCAACUCGCCUGCACGAAGUCGGAAUUGCUAGUAAUCGUGGAUCAGCAUGCCACGGUGAAUACGUUCCCGGGCCU